AUUGAACGCUGGCGGCAGGCUUAACACAUGCAAGUCGAGCGAGGGAAGGUAGCUUGCUACUGGACCUAGCGGCGGACGGGUGAGUAAUGCUUAGGAAUCUGCCUAUUAGUGGGGGACAACAUCUCGAAAGGGAUGCUAAUACCGCAUACGUCCUACGGGAGAAAGCAGGGGAUCUUCGGACCUUGCGCUAAUAGAUGAGCCUAAGUCGGAUUAGCUAGUUGGUGGGGUAAAGGCCUACCAAGGCGGCGAUCUGUAGCGGGUCUGAGAGGAUGAUCCGCCACACUGGGACUGAGACACGGCCCAGACUCCUACGGGAGGCAGCAGUGGGGAAUAUUGGACAAUGGGGGGAACCCUGAUCCAGCCAUGCCGCGUGUGUGAAGAAGGCCUUAUGGUUGUAAAGCACUUUAAGCGAGGAGGAGGCUACUUUAGUUAAUACCUAGAGAUAGUGGACGUUACUCGCAGAAUAAGCACCGGCUAACUCUGUGCCAGCCGCCGCAGUAA
This 501-nucleotide ribosomal RNA is filed under the name uncultured bacterium. Its description in RNAcentral is "partial 16S ribosomal RNA". It matches the Rfam family "Bacterial small subunit ribosomal RNA", at positions 30 to 523 of the family's 1533-position model. The record is from RNAcentral.